GACGAACCUCUGGUGUUCGGGUUGUCAUGCCAAUGGCAUUGCCCGGUAGCUACGUUCGGAACUGAUAACCGCUGAAAGCAUCUAAGCGGGAAACAGGCUUUGAGAUGAGUUCUCACUGGACCUUUAAGGUCCCUGAAGGGUCGUUGGAGACUACGACGUUGAUAGGCGGGAUGUGGAAGCACUGUGAGGUGUUGAGCUAACCCGUACUAAUUGCCCGUGAGGCUUAACCAU
Molecule: ribosomal RNA, 231 nt
Filed under: Thalassotalea agarivorans
Lineage: Bacteria; Pseudomonadati; Pseudomonadota; Gammaproteobacteria; Alteromonadales; Colwelliaceae
Description: Thalassomonas agarivorans Bacterial large subunit ribosomal RNA
Rfam family: Bacterial large subunit ribosomal RNA
Source: Rfam by way of RNAcentral